RNAcentral lists this ribosomal RNA (254 nucleotides) under uncultured bacterium. Its description in RNAcentral is "partial 16S ribosomal RNA". It matches the Rfam family "Bacterial small subunit ribosomal RNA", at positions 524 to 776 of the family's 1533-position model. The record is from RNAcentral.
CACGUAGGGGGCAAGCGUUGUCCGGAUUUAUUGGGCGUAAAGAGCUCGUAGGCGGUUCGGUAAGUCGGGUGUGAAACCUCCAGGCUCAACCUGGAGACGCCACCCGAUACUGCUGUGACUCGAGUCCGGUAGGGGAGCGUGGAAUUCCUGGUGUAGCCGUGAAAUGCGCAGAUAUCAGGAGGAACACCAGCGGCGAAGGCGGCGCUCUGGGCCGGUACUGACGCUCAGACACGACAGCAUGGGGAGCGAACGGG